RNAcentral lists this ribosomal RNA (901 nucleotides) under uncultured marine bacterium. Its description in RNAcentral is "bacterial SSU rRNA". It matches the Rfam family "Bacterial small subunit ribosomal RNA", at positions 8 to 916 of the family's 1533-position model. The record is from RNAcentral.
AGAGUUUGAUCCUGGCUCAGGACGAACGCUGGCGGCGUGCUUAACACAUGCAAGUCGAACGAUGAAAGCAGGAGCUUGCUUUUGCUGGAUUAGUGGCGAACGGGUGAGUAACACGUGAGUAACCUGCCCUUGACUCUGGGAUAAGCGUUGGAAACGACGUCUAAUACCGGAUACGAGCUAGGACCGCAUGGUCACUAGUUGGAAAGAAUUUCGGUCAAGGAUGGACUCGCGGCCUAUCAGCUAGUUGGUGAGGUAACGGCUCACCAAGGCGACGACGGGUAGCCGGCCUGAGAGGGUGACCGGCCACACUGGGACUGAGACACGGCCCAGACUCCUACGGGAGGCAGCAGUGGGGAAUAUUGCACAAUGGGCGCAAGCCUGAUGCAGCAACGCCGCGUGAGGGACGACGGCCUUCGGGUUGUAAACCUCUUUUAGCAGGGAAGAAGCGAAAGUGACGGUACCUGCAGAAAAAGCACCGGCUAACUACGUGCCAGCAGCCGCGGUAAUACGUAGGGUGCAAGCGUUGUCCGGAAUUAUUGGGCGUAAAGAGCUCGUAGGCGGUUUGUCGCGUCUGCUGUGAAAAUCCGAGGCUCAACCUCGGACCUGCAGUGGGUACGGGCAAACUAGAGUGCGGUAGGGGAGAUUGGAAUUCCUGGUGUAGCGGUGGAAUGCGCAGAUAUCAGGAGGAACACCAAUGGCGAAGGCAGAUCUCUGGGCCGUAACUGACGCUGAGGAGCGAAAGCGUGGGGAGCGAACAGGAUUAGAUACCCUGGUAGUCCACGCCGUAAACGGUGGGAACUAGAUGUGGGGUCCGUUCCACGGAUUCCGUGUCGCAGCUAACGCAUUAAGUUCCCCGCCUGGGGAGUACGGCCGCAAGGCUAAAACUCAAAGGAAUUGACGG